UACAGAGGGUGCGAGCGUUGUCCGGAUUUACUGGGCGUACAGGGAGCGUAGGCGGUUGGAUAAGCCCUCCGUGAAAUCUCCAGGCUUAACCUGGAAAGUGCAGAGGGGACUGUUCAGCUAGAGGAUGGGAGAGGAGCGCGGAAUUCCCGGUGUAGCGGUGAAAUGCGUAGAGAUCGGGAGGAAGGCCGGUGGCGAAGGCGGCGCUCUGGAACAUUUCUGACGCUGAGGCUCGAAAGCGUGGGGAGCAAACAGG
This 253-nucleotide ribosomal RNA is filed under the name uncultured bacterium. Its description in RNAcentral is "partial 16S ribosomal RNA". It matches the Rfam family "Bacterial small subunit ribosomal RNA", at positions 524 to 776 of the family's 1533-position model. The record is from RNAcentral.